This 741-nucleotide ribosomal RNA is filed under the name uncultured bacterium. Its description in RNAcentral is "bacterial SSU rRNA". It matches the Rfam family "Bacterial small subunit ribosomal RNA", at positions 8 to 796 of the family's 1533-position model. The record is from RNAcentral.
AGAGUUUGAUCCUGGCUCAGAACGAACGCUGGCGGCAGGCCUAACACAUGCAAGUCGAGCGCCCAGCAAUGGGAGCGGCGGACGGGGUGAGUAACACGUGGGAAUAUGCCCUUUGGUACGGGACAACUCAGGGAAACUUGAGCUAAUACCGUAUGUGCCGGUAACGGGAAAGAUUUAUCGCCAAAGGAAUAGCCCGCGUCCGAUUAGCUAGUUGGUGAGGUAACGGCCCACCAAGGCACCGAUCGGUAGCUGGUUUGAGAGAACGACCAGCCACACUGGGACUGAGACACGGCCCAGACUCCUACGGGAGGCAGCAGUGGGGAAUCUUGGACAAUGGGGGAAACCCUGAUCCAGCCAUGCCGCGCGAGUGAUGAAGGCCUUCGGGUUGUAAAACUCUUUCGACGGGGACGAUAAUGACGGUACCCGUAGAAGAAGCUCCGGCUAACUUCGUGCCAGCAGCCGCGGUAAUACGAAGGGGGCUAGCGUUGUUCGGAAUUACUGGGCGUAAAGCGCGCGCAGGCGGCCUUUCAAGUCAGGGGUGAAAGCCCGGAGCUCAACUCCGGAAUUGCCUUUGAAACUGUAAGGCUUGAGUACGGGAGAGGUGAGUGGAAUUCCCAGUGUAGAGGUGAAAUUCGUAGAUAUUGGGAAGAACACCGGUGGCGAAGGCGGCUCACUGGCCCGUUACUGACGCUCAGGCGCGACAGCGUGGGGAUCAAACAGGAUUAGAUACCCUCGUAGUCC